Long non-coding RNA from Portunus trituberculatus (swimming crab), 2440 nucleotides. RefSeq lists it as uncharacterized. Lineage: Eukaryota; Metazoa; Arthropoda; Malacostraca; Decapoda; Portunidae. The transcript has 5 exons. The record is from RefSeq and is a predicted model, not a curated record.
UCUAUUUUUGUUACACUAAUCUUUUCAUGGAUGGGUCACAUUAAAUCAUGAAUUAGUAAUCUCUUAGGUGGGUGUGGCUUAGUUGAUGUAUUAUGAUCAUCAUAAUAACGUAUGUACGUAUGUACUAUUUGUAUCUAAUUGGUUAAGAAUUUGUUGCAUUGGAUUUAUGUUAUUAGUCUUUUGUAAGUUUACAAUUGUAUUGUAUUUUUUUCUUGGUGUUUCUAAUUUCAGUGAGAAGGGAAUGCAGAGGCGUGUAGCCCUGUGAUUGGUUGAUUUGAUGCAUCAGUGUGGGUUCUGUUAAAACGAAGGAUUUGGUAUUAGGAUGACCUAUAGGGGUAUUGUAUAUUAUAAUUAAGUGGAUCAAGUGUAUACCCAGGUGAUAUUUUUUGUUAAGCAAUUGUCCGUUGCCCGUUGGGCAACACGGAUAUAGCUGUGUACGAGGACAGCCGUGUGCUAGGGCAGGAAGGCGUUGCAGUCAGACAGUAGCCGCAUGCAUAGUGAAGGAAGUGGCAGUAAGAUUUAUGGAUCCAAUUAUUUAUGGCAGAUAGGGGUAUACUGGUGCGAAGUUGGCUGCAGUGUGUUCAUGGCACGGGGUGGGCGGUCAUAUUUGUGUUUUGAAGUCCUUGAAGCAGCAAGUCGUCAAUGAAUAGUAGUCGAGAGCAGCCAUGAAAAGUGUUCUGUUGGCGCAGCGUUUUCCUGAGACGAUCCACCAGUGUCUGCUCUGACUCACCAAGCUGGUGUCGCUCCCACGCAUCAAACACCGCCUGGUCCCAACAUAUCGGGAUUAUUAUUGAAACUGAAUAAUGCGAUUGACGAAAUCAUAGACAUAGGUCACCGACACGGAGGCAGCAUUCAUUCUAAGGAAAGUCAGCAUAAUACCUCCUCAAGUCGCUCCAAUUGGCAAAGACCAGGGAUACAUCUGCUUUACGGGAUCCUGAGUAGGGAUUGAAGAAAUAGGACAAGUUACAGAUAUGUGAUUGUGAUCGGAGAUGCCCAACGGAAAAAAAUAUGGUUACUUCAUAAGGAUGUGUUGUUGAUCUAACAAUGAUCUCUACAUCUCACAGAAGACAGCGCUCAAAUGAUCCAAAUAUAUUUUGCUACAUCUGUGGAAGCUUUAUUUUGAAGACUCAGAGGCGCAACAUUACAAACUUUGUUAAGAGCGUGUAUUUUGCGUACUUCAAAGUACCACUUGGAGGCCAAGACAAGAAUAUGCUAAACUGUUGGCUUCAAGACUGCAAGAAAAUCGAAUGUUGAAACCCCGCACAAGUGUCUCAUUUUAUCGUAACAGGGAAGCAAAACUGCUUAAGUACUUCCAUUCUAGAUGGCCAGCUUAUUUAUUGUACUGAUGUAGAAGGGCUACUUCUCUUUAUGGGACUUCCAGCAUACGAUUCAAGGAAUUGGAGGCUUUUUAUUGACAGUUCCAAAAGAAGUUUGAAAUGUGUUCUGUUACAGAAUGGAAAUAAGUAUGGCCCUAUACCAAUAGGUCAUUCUGUAAACCUUAAAAAAUAUAAUAUCAAAUUUGUUCUAGAGAGGUUGCAAUAUCAUGUUCAUGUGUGGUUAAUUUGUGUCGAUUUGAAAAUUGUUAACUUACUUUUAAGUCAGCAAGGAAGGUACAAAAAAUAUCCGUUUUCUCUGCUACUGGGACAGUAGAGCUACAGCAGAGCAUUGGGUGAAAAAUUAAUGGCCUCAGCGACAGAGUUUGGUAUCUGGCGAUAAGAAUGUCAUCAAUGAUCCUCUAGUGGAUAGUAAGAACAUUGCCUUUCCUCCCUUGCACAUAAAACUUGGAUUGAUGCAGCAUUUCGUCAAAGCUCUUGACCACGGUGGAGAAUUCUUCAACUAUAUUUGUUCAACUUUUCCUGGUCUUUGUGAGGAGAAGAAAAAAAGUUGGAGUAUUUGAUGGACCUCAAAUAAGAAACCUUAUGAGAGAUCCAAAUUUUAACACAUAAAUGAAUGAGACAGAAGAAAGAUCUUGGAAUGCAUUUUGUAAUGCUAUGCAGAAUUUUCUAGGGAAUAAGAAAACAGACAACUUUGAAGAGAUUGUGGAAGAGCUACUAAUGAGCCUGUGAAUGUGAUGUAGAAUGAGUAUCAAUAUUCACUAUUUACACAGCCAUUUGGACAAUUUUCCGGAGAACCUCGGGGAUGUGAGUGAGGAACAAGGGGAGCGUUUUCAUCAGGACAUUAAACAAUGGAAGAACGGUAUCAAGGCCGGUGGGACUGACAUAUGAUUGCGAAUUAUUGCUGGAGCUUGAUGAGAGACAACCCAGUAGCUGUACAUCAGAGAUCGGCCAAGAAAAGAAAGUUCAGAUAACUGCUAUUUGCCAUUGAUCUGUGAUAUGUGUUUUUAUAUUUUCUAUUUUAAUUGUCACUAUAUUUGAUUUGCUAUACAUUGGACUUUGCAAUCUUUGUUAUUCCUUGAUUAAGAAUAUACGAAAUGUAGAAC